AUGGCAUUGCUUCGUGAUCUUUGGAUGCCAAGUAGUCAAUGUUAUAUCACAGGACCGGUUUGGCCAACUAUUGAGGCAGAGAAUUUUGAGAUGAAGCCUGGUCUUAUUGCUUUGGUUCAACAACAACAAUUUGGAGGACUGCCCACUGAGGAUACCUAUGAGCACUUAUACCGAGUCAUGGAGUAUUCAGGUACAGUCAAGUACCAUGGAGUUCCUCAAGAUGCUAUCAAGUGCAUGCUGUUCUCAUUCUCUCUCCGGGAUGAUGCUCGUGCUUGGUAUCGAUCCUUGCCAUCAAGAUCAUUCAGUUGGAAUGAGAUAUCACAAGCUUUCUUGGAUAAAUAUUUCCCACUACACAAGUAG
Molecule: ribosomal RNA, 360 nt
Filed under: Triticum aestivum (bread wheat)
Lineage: Eukaryota; Viridiplantae; Streptophyta; Magnoliopsida; Poales; Poaceae
Description: partial small subunit ribosomal RNA
Source: RNAcentral